RNAcentral lists this ribosomal RNA (814 nucleotides) under uncultured crenarchaeote. RNAcentral's name for it is "bacterial SSU rRNA". It matches the Rfam family "Archaeal small subunit ribosomal RNA", at positions 52 to 874 of the family's 1478-position model. The record is from RNAcentral. Lineage: Archaea; Thermoproteati; Thermoproteota.
UGCGAGUCAACGUAGAAAUACGUGGCAUACGGCUCAGUAACACGUAGUCAACAUGCCCAGGGGACGUGGAUAACCUCGGGAAACUGAGGAUAAACCGCGAUAGGCCAUGAUUUCUGGAAUGGUUCAUGGCCGAAAUCUAUAUGGCCCCUGGAUUGGACUGCGGCCGAUCAGGCUGUUGGUGAGGUAAUGGCCCACCAAACCUGUAACCGGUACGGGCUCUGAGAGGAGGAGCCCGGAGAUGGGCACUGAGACAAGGGCCCAGGCCCUAUGGGGCGCAGCAGGCGCGAAAUCUCUGCAAUAGGCGAAAGCUUGACAGGGUUACUCUGAGUGGUUCCCGUUAAGGGGAUCUUUUGGCACCUUUAAAAAUGGUGCAGAAUAAGGGGUGGGCAAGUCUGGUGUCAGCCGCCGCGGUAAUACCAGCACCCCGAGUGGUCGGGACGAUUAUUGGGCCUAGAGCAUCCGUAGCCGGUACUGCAAGUCUUCCGUUAAAUCCACCUGCUUAACAGUUGGGCUGCGGGGGAUACUACAGCGCUAGGAGGCGGGAGAGGCAAGCGGUACUCAAUGGGUAGGGGUAAAAUCCGCUGAUCCAUUGAAGACCACCAGUGGCGAANGCGGCUUGCCAGAACGCGCUCGACGGUGAGGGAUGAAAGCUGGGGGAGCAAACCGGAUUAGAUACCCGGGUAGUCCCAGCUGUAAACGAUGCAGACUCGGUGAUGGGCUGGCCUUGUGCCAGCCCAGUGCCGCAGGGAAGCCGUUAAGUCUGCCGCCUGGGGAGUACGGUCGCAAGACUGAAACUUAAAGGAAUUGGCGGGGG